Molecule: non-coding RNA, 19 nt
Filed under: Arabidopsis thaliana (thale cress)
Lineage: Eukaryota; Viridiplantae; Streptophyta; Magnoliopsida; Brassicales; Brassicaceae
Also listed under: 2 other names
Source: RNAcentral
CGGGGAAAGAAGACCCUGU